Molecule: long non-coding RNA, 500 nt
Organism: Salvia splendens (bonfire salvia)
Lineage: Eukaryota; Viridiplantae; Streptophyta; Magnoliopsida; Lamiales; Lamiaceae
Exons: 3
Source: RefSeq, a predicted model, not a curated record
AAAGGAUCAACCCCUAAACCUAACACACAAAUCACACGCCCACUUCUUCAAACCACACGCCCCACCCCCUUUUUCAUCUCUUCUCCCACUUGUUAUCCAUUUCACUCAAGAUCCUAUCAAUUUUCCAAGAGAUUGUUGAAGAACCAAGGUUUUAAUUGCUUCCUACCGAUUAUUUCGUCCAAGAAAAGGUGAAAUUUUGUGCGAGACGCGUGAUACCAAAGGAAAAGCGAAACUUGAAAACUAAAGGAUCGAGGUUGAGCGGCGACGGGCGGUUGGCGGUGUUGAGCAGGAACUAAUAAUGAACUGUGGUUGUUUUGGUUUUGAAAUUCCGAGUGUCGUUGUGUCUUCACACAUGACGUCACUCUUCUCUUGGAUGCUUCCGCUGUGAUAUUUUUCUUAGAAUACUUUUCAUUUAAAUUCUGAAACUAUUUUAUGAUGGGAUGUUUGAAACUCGUUACACUUUUUGAAUAAAUGCUAAACCCUAGUCUUUAUUCAUUAAA